RNAcentral lists this ribosomal RNA (21 nucleotides) under Raphia farinifera. RNAcentral describes it as "partial 26S ribosomal RNA". Lineage: Eukaryota; Viridiplantae; Streptophyta; Magnoliopsida; Arecales; Arecaceae. The record is from RNAcentral.
GUGACCCCAGGUCAGUGGGCC